RNAcentral lists this ribosomal RNA (443 nucleotides) under uncultured bacterium. RNAcentral's name for it is "partial 16S ribosomal RNA". It matches the Rfam family "Bacterial small subunit ribosomal RNA", at positions 338 to 795 of the family's 1533-position model. The record is from RNAcentral.
CCUACGGGAGGCAGCAGUGGGGAAUAUUGGGCAAUGGGCGCAAGCCUGACCCAGCAACGCCGCGUGAAGGAAGAAGGCUUUCGGGUUGUAAACUUCCUUUGUCAGGGAAGAAGCAAGUGACGGUUCCUGACCAAUAAGCCACGGCUAACUACGUGCCAGCAGCCGCGGUAAUACGUAGGUGGCAAGCGUUAUCCGGAUUUACUGGGGGUAAAGGGCGUGUAGGCGGGACUGCAAGUCAGAUGUGAAAACCACGGGCUCAACCUGGGGCCUGCAUUUGAAACUGUAGAUCUUGAGUACGGGAGAGGCAGAUGGAAUUCCAAGUGUAGCGGUGAAAUGCGUAGAUAUUAGGAGGAACACCAGUGGCGAAGGCGAUCUGCUGGACAGCAACUGACGCUGAGGCGCGAAAGCGUGGGGAGCAAACAGGAUUAGAUACCCGAGUAGUC